Molecule: ribosomal RNA, 497 nt
Filed under: uncultured bacterium
Lineage: Bacteria
Description: partial 16S ribosomal RNA
Rfam family: Bacterial small subunit ribosomal RNA
Source: RNAcentral
GAUGAACGCUGGCGGCGUGCCUAAUACAUGCAAGUCGAGCGAACAGACGAGGAGCUUGCUCCUCUGACGUUAGCGGCGGACGGGUGAGUAACACGUGGAUAACCUACCUAUAAGACUGGGAUAACUUCGGGAAACCGGAGCUAAUACCGGAUAACAUGUUGAACCGCAUGGUUCAACAGUGAAAGACGGUCUUGCUGUCACUUAUAGAUGGAUCCGCGCCGCAUUAGCUAGUUGGUAAGGUAACGGCUUACCAAGGCAACGAUGCGUAGCCGACCUGAGAGGGUGAUCGGCCACACUGGAACUAAGACACGGUCCAGACUCCUACGGGAGGCAGCAGUAGGGAAUCUUCCGCAAUGGGCGAAAUCCUGACGGAGCAACGCCGCGUGAGUGAAGAAGGUCUUCGGAUCGUAAAACUCUGUUAUUAGGGAAGAACAAAUGUGUAAGUAACUAUGCACGUCUUGACGGUACCUAAUCAGAAAGCCACGGCUAACUACGUG